GACGAACGCUGGCGGCGUGCUUAACACAUGCAAGUCGAACGGUGAACUCAGCUUGUGGGGGGACCAGUGGUGAACGGGUGAGUAACACGUGGGCAACCUGACCCCAGCUAUGGGAUAACUAUAAGAUAUUGGGGCCAAUACCGGAACCGAAUAAUGUCCUGAUGGGCAGGUGGUGGAAAGAUCUAUCGGCUGUGGUUGGGCCCUCAGAUUAAUCGUCUGUUGGUGGGGUAGUGGCUUACCAAGGGGAUGACGGGUAGCCGGCCUGAGAGGGGGACCGGGCACACGGGGACUAAGGGACGGCCCAGACGCCUACGGGAGGCAGCGGUGGGGAGUAUUGCGCAAUGGGCGAAAGCCUGACACAGCGGCGCCGCGUGGGGAAUGACGGCCUUCGGGUUGUAAACCUCUUUCUACGGGGACGAAGCGAAAGUGACGGUACCUGCAGAAAAAGCACCGGCCAACUACGUG
RNAcentral lists this ribosomal RNA (465 nucleotides) under uncultured bacterium. RNAcentral describes it as "partial 16S ribosomal RNA". It matches the Rfam family "Bacterial small subunit ribosomal RNA", at positions 28 to 507 of the family's 1533-position model. The record is from RNAcentral.